GAUGAACGCUGGCGGCGUGCCUAAUACAUGCAAGUCGAGCGAACGGACGAGAAGCUUGCUUCUCUGAUGUUAGCGGCGGACGGGUGAGUAACACGUGGAUAACCUACCUAUAAUACUGGGAUAACUUCGGGAAACCGGAGCUAAUACCGGAUAAUAUUUUGAACCGCAUGGUUCAAAAGUGAAAGACGGUCUUUCUGUCACUUAUAGAUGUAUCCUCGCUGCAUUAGCUAGUUGGUAAGGUAACGGCUUACCAAGGCAACGAUGCAUAGCCGACCUGAGAGGGGGAUCGGACACACUGGAACUGAGACACGGUCCAGAGUCCUACGGGAGGCAGCAGUAGGGAAUAUUCCGCAAUGGGCGAAAGCCUGACGGAGCAACGCCGCGUGAGUGAUGAAGGUCUUCGGAUCGUAAAACUCUGUUAUUAGGGAAGAACAUAUGUGUAAGUAACUGUGCACAUAUUGACGGUACCUAAUCAGAAAGCCACGGCUAACUACGUG
This 497-nucleotide ribosomal RNA is filed under the name uncultured bacterium. RNAcentral describes it as "partial 16S ribosomal RNA". It matches the Rfam family "Bacterial small subunit ribosomal RNA", at positions 28 to 507 of the family's 1533-position model. The record is from RNAcentral.